CCCGCCGGGGCCGGGCUGGCGACCUGUCCAGCACUAGGCCAUCGUCGCCAAGCUGGCCAGACACGCAAGGAGGCCACACCAGGAGCACCAGAUACAGCAGAUGAACCAAAAGGACUCAGAAGUGAAGUGUUACCUCACCGUUGUUCCAGGGUUGUGUGAAGAGCCAAUGAGAUGGUGUCUGCUGUGGACCUACUGCUUCUGUUAAUCCAAGAUAUCAUUGUGAAGUCACACAAGGCUCUCUGGUGGGCAAGGAUCAGAAAUUCACCCACAUUUCUCUACCAAAGUCGCCUCAUUUUGUUUUAAAUUACACAAGCAAAAAAUAAAGACUCCAUAUGUAUGAAAAGGUCACAAGUUUGGAUAUUAAUUUAAGUGGGUUCUGCUUGGGGUUGUAGAACCAGGUCUGUUGUAAAAUCAAGAAGUACAAGGUAUAGUGCACUGGUUAGUGUACAUAAUGGUUAAUGUCCAUAAUGUACUGGUUAGGCACAGGAGUACAUUCAGCCAGAGACUCAUUUCACCGAGAUGCAACACUGAGCGUCAUUGGAAGUCAUUCCUGCCUGUGGCCAUCAAACUUUACAAUUCCUCCCUCGGAGUGUCAGACACCCUGGGCCAAUAGGCUGGUCCUGGACUUAUUUCCACUGGGAAAUAAUUUACUUAUUAUUAUUUAAUUAUUUAUGGUUUUAUAUUGCUAUAUUUCUGCACUAUUCUUGGUUGGUGCAACUGUAACGAAACCCAAUUUCCCUCGGGAUCAAUAAAGUCUGUCUGUCUAGAACUACAAUAUCUUCUCCUUAUAAAAGUAUUUUUCCAGAUAAAUGUAUGUUUAGUAUUAUCACAAGCAAAUUAUGUUCAUAAAAAUAGUCAUAAAAAGCAGAAUGAUUACCAUCCUUUAUUGACAAAUUCCCUAUCCAUUUCCACUCUGGUAACUACAACACUGUCUUCCCAAAAAACCAGCAGAGUUUAACUCCAGACUUCUUUAAGGUGGUAUCUUAGUCCAUAAGGCUUAUUAAUAGUCUGGAGAUUACAGAGCAGGAAGCCUGCCUUAGAACAUACUGUAAGAGGAAAUUAUAGGCCAGUCAGCCUGACCUCAGUGGUUGGGAAGAUGCUGGAGUCAAUUGUUAACGAUGAAGUUAUGGAGUACUUUGAGACACAGGAUAAGAUUGGACAAAGUCAGCAUAGUUUCCUUGAGAGAAAAUCCUGUCUGAUGAACCUGUUGGAAUUCUUUGAGGAGAUUACAAGUAGGAUAGAUAAAGGAAAUGAAGUAGAUGUUGUGUAUUAGGACUUUCAGAAGGCCUUUGACAAGGUGCCACACGAGGCUGCUUACCAAAUUAAGAGCCCAUGGCAUUACAGGAAAGUUACAAACAUGGUUAGAACAUUGGCUGAUUGGUAGCAGGCAGCGAGUGGGAAUAAAAGGAUUCUUUUCUGGACAGCUGCCAGUGACUAGUGAUGUUCUACAGGGGUUGAUGUUGGGACCACUUCUUUUUAUGCUGUAAAUAAAUGAUGUAGAUGAUAGAAUAGAUAAUAUUGUUGCCAAGUUAGCAGAUGAUACAAAGAUUGGCGGAGAGGCAGGUAGUGUUGAGGAAACAGGUAGGGUGCAGAAGGACUUAAGACAGAUUAGACGAAUGGGCAAGAAAGUGGCAAAUGAAAUACAAUGCUGAAAAAUGCAUGGUCAUGCACUUGGUAGUAGAAAUAAAUGUGCAGACUAUUUUCUAAAUGGGGGCAAAAUCCAAAAUGCUGAGAUGGAAAAAGACAUGGGGGUCUUGUGUAGAACAUUCUAAUUGUUAACUUGCAGGUAGAGUUGGUGGUGAAGAAGGCAAAUGCAAUGUUAGCAUUCAUUUCAAGAGGUCUAGAAUACAAGAGCAGGGAUGUGAUGCUGAGUGUUUAUAAGGCACUGGUGAGACCUCAUCCUGAGUAUUGUGAACAGUUCUGAACUCCUCAUCCAAGAAAAUGUGUUGGCAUUGGAGAGGGUUCACAAGGAUGAUUCGGGAAAUGAAAGGGUUAUAAUACGAAGAACGUUUGAUAGCUCUGGGUCUGUACUUGCUGGAAUUUAGAAGGGUGAGGGGGGAGCUCAGUGAAAACUUUCAAAUAUUGAAAGGCCUGGACAGAGUAGAUGUGGAAAGGAUGUUUCCCAUGAUGGAGGAGUCAAGGCCAAGGGGGCACAGCCUCAGGUUACAGGGGCGUCCAUUUAACACAGAUACAGAGAAAUUUCUUUAGCCAGAGGUGGUGAAUUUGUAGAAUUUAUUACCACAGGCAGCUAUGGAGGCCAGGUCAUAGGGUGUACUUAAGGCAGAGCUUGAUAGUUUCUUGUUUGGACAUGGCAUCAAAGGUUACAGGGAGAAGGUCAGGGAGUGUGGCUGGGGGGGGGAAGAAGUAUCAGCCAUGACUGGCGGAGCAGACUCAAUGGGCCAAAUGGCUUAAUUCUUCUCCUAUGUCUUAUGGUAUUUAAUAGCAAGUGGUAUGGUGACACCAAGAAGCUUAUGUUUGAAGGGACACACCUGAUGACUGAGUAUUACAAAGGGGCCUGCAUUACUAUUUCAACACUUUUCCUUUCAAAUGCCAACUUUCCUAAAAGCUGGUAUUCCUGUUAAAGUCAAAUGGAUGAUUUAGUCCCAGUUCUCUGACAUUCUACCCAUCCAUUUUUGGAGCUAAAAUUCAGCCUAUAAAGAUACACUUUUACAAAGUUAAUCUUCUAACAUUUUAAAAGGAAUCCACUACUUACCUGAAUUUCAACAACCACAACUUAAAUUUGCUUUUUAAACAUUCAAAAUGAAUGCAACUUAGAAAAGGUGACUGCAGAAACCAUCAGGAUUUUUAUCAAGUAGAACAAACAUCUGCUUCUCUAAAAUAUUUCUUAGUACAACUAGUUGGUUCUCUGAAUUAGACAGAAACUGAAUUACCUACAUCGUAAUGUUUAAUACAACGGACCAUUUCCUUGUAGGAUCUAAUAGUUAAUUGAUGCCCAAGAAAUCAGAGUCCCAGAAUACCCUUCUUCACCCAGGAGAAAUGGCAAGGCAUUACUACAAAGAACAAUGCUAUCUGGCAGAUUAGUUGCCAUCAAUGGUUAUCAUCUUAUUAUGGCUGUAUAAUCCAACUAAUACUCGGCAGUGUGGAGGCUCAGAGGCUCAGAGUCAGAGUCCAUAGGACACUCAAAGCUGCUGCGCAGGUUGAGUCUGUGGUUAAGGCAGCGUAUGGUGCAUUGGCCUUCAUUAAUUGUGGGAUUGAGUUUAGGAGCCAAGAGGUAAUGUUGCAGCUAUAAAGGACCCUGGUCAGACCCCACUUGGAGUACUGUGCUCAGUUCUGGUCACCUCACUACAGGAAGGAUGUGGAAACCAUAGAAAGAGUGCAGAGGAGAUUUAGAAGGAUGUUGCCUCGAUUGGGGAGCAUGCCUUAUGAGAAUAUAUUGAGUGAACUUGGCCUUUUCCCUUUGGAGUGACGGAGGAUGAGAGGUGACCUGAUAGAGGUGUACAAGAUGAUGAGAGGCAUUAAUCGUGUGGAUAGUCAGAGGCUUUUUCCCAGGGCUGAAAUUGCUAGCACAAGAAGGCACAGUUUUAAUGUACUUGGAAGUGGGUACAGAGGAGAUGUCAGGGGUAAUUUUUUUUUAUGCAGAGAGUGGUGAGUGCGUGGAAUGGGCUGCCGGCGACAGUAGUAGAGGCGAAUACGAUAGAGUCUUUUAAGAGCCUCCUGGAUAGGUAAAAAAAAACACAUAGAAACAUAGAAAACUUAUAGCACAAUACAGGCCGUUCGGCCCACAAAGUUGUCCCAAACAUGUCCCUACCUUA
This is a long non-coding RNA of Hypanus sabinus (Atlantic stingray), 3773 nucleotides long. RefSeq lists it as uncharacterized. The transcript has 3 exons. Lineage: Eukaryota; Metazoa; Chordata; Chondrichthyes; Myliobatiformes; Dasyatidae. The record is from RefSeq and is a predicted model, not a curated record.